This 247-nucleotide ribosomal RNA is filed under the name uncultured bacterium. Its description in RNAcentral is "partial 16S ribosomal RNA". It matches the Rfam family "Bacterial small subunit ribosomal RNA", at positions 523 to 769 of the family's 1533-position model. The record is from RNAcentral.
AUACGGAGGAUCCAAGCGUUAUCCGGAUUUAUUGGGUUUAAAGGGUGCGUAGGCGGUUUUAUAAGUCAGCGGUGAAAUUUUCCGGCUCAACCGGGAUACUGCCGUUGAUACUGUAAGGCUAGGAUAUGGUUGCUGUGGGUGGAAUGUGUGGUGUAGCGGUGAAAUGCUUAGAGAUCACACAGAAUAUCGAUUGCGCAGGCAGCUUACUAAACCACUACUGACGCUCAUGCACGAAGGCGUGGGGAUC